Molecule: transfer RNA, 118 nt
Filed under: marine sediment metagenome
Description: tRNA-Phe
Source: RNAcentral
GGGCUUGUGGAGUAGUCUGGAUAUCUCACUUGAGAAACGAACUAAUAUGAUGAUUGGUGACAUGACUCUAAGGGUUUAAAGUACCAGGAGAACGUUGGUUCGAAGCCAACCAAGCCCA